AGAAAAAUGUAUUUUGAGAAUGCAUGUUCAGAUGUUUAGUGGAACAUACCUGGAUUGAAAUGAAAAUAUUUUUGCUACUUCUCAAUACACUGGAAUAUCCCCACUAUAAGUGACAAGAAAAUUGGAAAUUAAACCCUAAAAGAAGUAGUACAAUGGAAAGAAAGAACCUCAACAAAUAAUGUGUUUUAGAACCAAUAAACCUUAAAGAAACACAGUUACUGAACUAUAGCAUUGUAAUCUGUUUUUUUUUUAUAUAUAACAAAAUACGAACUAAGUCUUUAAAUGGAUAAAUAAAUUGAUGUAAGGAGAAAAUAAAGGAAAACCACUUAUAUCAUUUUACUAAUCUUUUUGUAGCUAGCUUCACCAUUUCCUUGUCUCCCAUAACAUGUGAGACAGAUCCUAGAAACACAUACCACAAAACAUAAGUCAAAGUGUCUUAUAUAACUAAUGCAAUCAUUAUAAUGUGUAAACAUUUUAAAUUUAAAAUGAUACAAUAAAUAAGAGUUUGGAAGCAUAACUUUAAUAAGGGUAAAACAAGAACGCAAUGUAGUAAUAAAAAGAAAAACAUAAACUGCAUUCUUUUUUGUUGUGUUUACACCUUGAGAAUUAUACGAAAGUAAAUUGCAUUUAUAGAAAAGAGGCAUGUUACAUUAAGGCAUUGUAUUUCAGAAAUUCAAGUGUACCUUGAUACACAGAAAAACCGUAUAGAAACGCAAGUUUUUUCAGAAAAGAAGGGCAUAAGAAAAAACAAUCCCAAGAGGAAAACGACUUUAAAAUGUUUCCUGAAAAGUGGAAGAGAGAAGAAAGAAGAAAUAUGGAAGAGUCCGACCUUCUCUUUUUCAAGCCAAACGUUUAGGCUAUAUGGUGUUCUCUCUUAUUUGGGUAUGCCUAUGUGAAAUGUUUAUUUUUAUCAAUAAUCAUUUAUUUUUGGAAAAUUGAGUAAUCCAACCACUUUGUAAUGGUUUUUUAACCGCAAUAAGAGUAAUUUUGAAAAAUCAUCAUUAGGUCCCGAAUGACCCGUAUUUCAAUCGGAUAACCGGAUAUAGUGAUCACAACCCUGGUAAUGUGGCUCCCUAUAAAAUAACAUUUUGAACCCUAUUAACACUAAAUCUGCACUAAAGUCCCUGAAUUUUGGCUCUAUUAACACAAAAGUCCUUCCUCUUUUUUUUUCAAUUUAGCCCAUAAAACCGGUAAACACUUGCAAAAAAACCAUUGUUCCCCACUAAUGCCAAUUUUCAGGUUUUUCUGAAAGGAUUUUUCUGAAAAUGAACAAAUCAUAUAUGGCUUUCUUGUUAAUAGGGUUUGAGUUUAAAGAUUUUGCUGAAAAUUUUUCCUUUUAUAUCUACUAAAUUAAUUUAAAAAAAACUCAUUUAUUUAUUAAAAAAACUCAAAAUAAAGAUAUCAUUUACAUCAUUUUCACUAGAAAAACUCAUUUUUAUUUAUUAAAAAACAGGAAAAUGAUAAUUUAUUUAUCAUUUUGGGGUUUUUUGUGUUUUCUUCCAUAAAUAUCAUAACAAAAAUCAUGACUAUAUAUCAAUUUUAGCAUGUGUUUUUAUAAGUAUUAUAGCUCUUAUAACAUUCUUUGCAGUUAUUUAAGUUACAUGUUGUAAAACAACUUGAACUUAAUUUGGACACUUAUAAAAAAAUGGAAACUCUCUUCAUUUCCAUUCUUUAUACCUAGGUCACUAUUUUUUUUACACACAUGCCCUAAAUUAUUACAGCACAGCCAACUGGAAGACAUAAAAUGAGUAAGCAUAUAAAUACAUAGAUGCAGCAUGAAGAUAACAUUCAAUUUGUUUUUUACUCAAGGCCUAACAUGUGAGGACCAUAAACCAGAGGAUUUCGUUAUAUGGACAAAAUAAUAAAUCAUGAUUUUAAAGCCAAUCAUCCUGUCUUACUCAGAUAAAAUUUUCAAUUACCAAAAAACAACCAGAAAUCAAGAUACCACAACUAACUAAAAAGUUGCAGAGAUGAAAUUUUAGCCUAAAGUGGCAUCUGGGGUAAAGCAUCAGAAAGAAGAGGGUCAUAAUACACAUUACCAAGAUGGAAAUAAAAAGAGAUUAUUGACUCAAUUUUUCAUUGGGGCAUUUUGUGAAACACUAAAAAGACACAAACAACCCAAAAUAAUACUCCAUAACCAGAUUCCUAAUCUAAUAAAAAAAUAUGCGAAUGCUACAAAGGUAGUUAACACCUCAUGUAAAUGUUAAAUUAAAAUCAAUAGGAUUAAAAAAAGUACCUCAAGAUAAACCUUCUGUCCACUGUGGCAUUCUCCGAUUUGUGUGAAUGUAAAAAUGUCAAUGAAAAAACUUCAAUAUGGGAAGCCCACGCAGAAUAUCGUUCUUGAUUUCUCUGUUUUGCUUCAAGAUUCCGGAGGUUUUAUUUGCUGAAAUCAAACGAAUGAAUAUUUCAAGUGUUCCCUUCAAAGAGGUUGGGGUAAAAGUUGAUAUUGGGGGUGAGAGGCUUCGGUUUCAAGAAACAAAGGCAGUAGAGGAGAAGUUACAAGUGAAAUGUUCAAUCAAGAAGGGAAAAUAAGAAGGAAGCAGCAGGCUAGGUGGCGUGAGAUGAACGAUUAAGUACUAUUUCCUUUGAAACUUGUAAGCAAGUCAGAUGACAUAUGUUUGUAGAGUGGACACCAAUGCCUGAAGAAAAAACGGAGCGCAUGAGAAGGAGAACAAUUCUUGAUAUCAAUUUAUUUUAGAAGUGAGAUUGUUUAUAGGAGCACAAGAGAAAAACGAUUAAUAUCAAAAAAUUCAAGUGUACCUUGAUACGCAUAAAAACACUAUAGAAACCGCAAGUGUUUCAGAAAAGGAGGAAGGGCAUAAGAAAAGAAUGACCCCAAGAGGAAAACGACUAACUUUCUCAUAAUUUCAAGAAAGAAGAAAUAUGAAAGAGUUCAGGCGUCUGAAACCCUCUUUUUCGAGUCAGUUAGUGCUCCAACAUGUUUGAAGAUCAUGAUUUUAAUUAAACAAAAUCUUAUGCAUUAAUUAGGCUAUAUAGUGUAUGCCUAUGUGAAAUCUUUUUAUUUAUCGAUAAUCAUUUAUCUUUGGAAAAUUGAGUAAUCCAGCCACUUUGUAAUCGUUUUUUAGAAAUAAUAACCACAAUAAAAGUACUCUUGAAAAAUAAUCAUUCGGUCCCAUAUGACCCAUUCCAGACCCGUAUUUUAAAUGGAUAACCGGAUAUAGUGAUCACAACCCCGGUAAUGUGGCUCCUUUAUAAAUAACAUUUUGAACCUAGUUCAAACUCAUAUUCAUUCCACACAACAUUUUGGACACCAAACCAACUCAAACAAUAUCUUCUAGCAAUGGAGAUAUUCAUUUUUUUGUGAGUAUCUUCCCAUUACUUUUAUAAUGCGAAAUCUGCAAUAGAGUCCUUCCUCUUUUUUUUUCAAUUUAGCCCCUAAAACCGGUAAACACUUGCUAGAAAACCAUUGUUCC
This 3434-nucleotide long non-coding RNA is filed under the name Lactuca sativa (garden lettuce). RNAcentral describes it as "long non-coding RNA (LSAT_LNC003413)". Lineage: Eukaryota; Viridiplantae; Streptophyta; Magnoliopsida; Asterales; Asteraceae. The record is from RNAcentral.